GAUGAACGCUGGCGGCGUGCCUAAUACAUGCAAGUCGAGCGAACGGACGAGAAGCUUGCUUCUCUGAUGUUAGCGGCGGACGGGUGAGUAACACGUGGAUAACCUACCUAUGAGACUGGGAUAACUUCGGGAAACCGGAGCUAAUACCGGAUGAUAUUUUGAACCGCAUGGUUCAAAAGUGAAAGACGGUCUUGCUGUCACUUAUAGAUGGAUCCGCGCUGCAUUAGCUAGUUGGUAAGGUAACGGCUUACCAAGGCAACGAUGCAUAGCCGACCUGAGAGGGUGAUCGGCCACACUGGAACUGAGACACGGUCCAGACUCCUACGGGAGGCAGCAGUAUGGAAUCUUCCGCAAUGGGCGAAAGCCUGACGGAGCAACGCCGCGUGAGUGAUGAAGGUCUUCGGAUCGUAAAACUCUGUUAUUAGGGAAGAACAUAUGUGUAAGUAACUGUGCACAUCUUGACGGUACCUAAUCAGAAAGCCACGGCUAACUACGUG
RNAcentral lists this ribosomal RNA (497 nucleotides) under uncultured bacterium. RNAcentral describes it as "partial 16S ribosomal RNA". It matches the Rfam family "Bacterial small subunit ribosomal RNA", at positions 28 to 507 of the family's 1533-position model. The record is from RNAcentral.